RNAcentral lists this long non-coding RNA (434 nucleotides) under Lathyrus oleraceus (garden pea). RNAcentral's name for it is "Pisum sativum (pea) long non-coding RNA (PSAT_LNC037899)". The record is from RNAcentral. Lineage: Eukaryota; Viridiplantae; Streptophyta; Magnoliopsida; Fabales; Fabaceae.
AACAACAACAUAAGUACUAAACAUAUUAUUCUCCUUGAUUAAUAUAGUUAGAAUAAUCACCAUGAAGACAUGUUCGAAGACAUUUCAAGAACCUAUUACCUUCAACUAGAAUCACUUUGAUCAAAUCAAACUCUUUCAUCUAACCCUAUAAUACUAUUCUUAUACCCCAUUUUCUUACCAAAGUCUUUCUUACCUAAGUCUAUGUUCACUGGUUCGUUCCUUAACAACAACAACAACAUAAACUACAACAACAACGACAACAUGAACUACAACAACAACAACAACAUAAAUAACAACAACAUAUUAUUCUCCUAGAACCACUUUGAUCAAAUCCAACUCUUUCAUCUAACUCUAUAAUACUAUUUCCACAUAAAACCAUGAAUAUAGAUAUGCCUCAUACACAUUCAACAACAACAACAACAUAAAUAUAAACA